UCCCGAGUUAAACAGUUAAAUACCGAUGAAUCGAUCAGGUUUCACAUGAUGUUUAACAAAAUAAUGUAGGCAAAUGUAGGCAUAGAUUUUUUUAACGUUGAAAUGUGCAAAGUUUAUCGAGAUUGAAUGAAAUAAUAUUUACUUUCAAGUAUUCUAAAUUUAUGUAUAUGUCAUAAAUGUCAUUGAUUGCAUUAUUGAAACUGGACAACUAAAACGGGGAUAAUAUUUUCGUAAAUAUAUAUUCAAAAAGUGUUUAUUGUGGAAUGCUUGUAUUAAUAUAAUAAGCUAUACAGCAAAAAAUAUAACAAACCGACGAAAUGGGCUUGCAUCUAUCUGUCUUACGGUAAAUUCAUUUUUACACAAAUUAGUUUAUGUAUCAAGAACUUAAAUUGAAGGAUAGAACCGUUUAGAAUUGUUAAUAAUUUAAUUGACUAUAAAUACACGAGAGAUUUUGAUUUUUCGUAUUUAAUAAAGGGUGUCCAAACGUAUUUUUUUGUACAGACAUCUUCUUAACUUUAUACGGAAAUGGUUUUUUAAUUGUCUUUAAAUUUUAAAAUUGAAAUGACACAACUUUGUUCUCCAAUUUCGUAUGUGAUAGCUGUCGGUUUUAACUAUUAAGUUCAAACUAACCAAAAAUAGGGAAAAAUUUGACUAAAAUAAAAAUUGAACGAAUGACUCUUUUCGGCAGCGUACAUCAACGGAAUGUAACGAAUGGACUAUUCGGGUUACUUCGCAUGUAUAUUCGACAAAAACUUGUCUGUUCGUAGUUCUUCGUGAACACGAAAAUGACCGAUAAGUGUCAGUGAUUUGAUCGAUCACAUGCGGAGAAUAAACUUCCAUGCCAGAUAUUGAACCAAUUAACGAGUUAUCGAAAGAUGGGCGGUAACGCAGAUGAAACCUUUGAAGUGACGACGAUGUUAUUCCUUCUAAAUAUUACUUCCAUGAGAUUAGUAACUUUGACUGCAACUCACAUAUUUCUGCAUUAACCUUGUCAGUUGGUUCAUCUGUCUGCACAUUUAGUUGUUUGUUCACAACUUUUCUU
This 1042-nucleotide long non-coding RNA is filed under the name Mytilus galloprovincialis (Mediterranean mussel). The record is from RNAcentral. Lineage: Eukaryota; Metazoa; Mollusca; Bivalvia; Mytilida; Mytilidae.